UACGAAGGGGGCGAGCGUUGUUCGGAAUUACUGGGCGUAAAGGGCGCGCAGGCGGCUCUGAAAGUCAGAUGUGAAAGCCCCGGGCUUAACCUGGGAAUUGCAUUUGAUACUCUGGAGCUUGAGUGUGGGAGAGGAGAGUGGAAUUCCCAGUGUAGAGGUGAAAUGCGUAGAUAUCCGGAGGAAUACCAAAGGCGAAGGCAGUGUCCUGGGGAGUGUCUGACGCUCAGGCGCGAAAGCUAGGGGAGCGAACAGG
RNAcentral lists this ribosomal RNA (253 nucleotides) under uncultured bacterium. RNAcentral describes it as "partial 16S ribosomal RNA". It matches the Rfam family "Bacterial small subunit ribosomal RNA", at positions 524 to 776 of the family's 1533-position model. The record is from RNAcentral.